GCCAGAGUGGUGUAGUGGUUUGAACAUUGGACUGUGACUCUGAAGAACAGGGUUUGAAUCACUGCUCUGCCA
This 72-nucleotide transfer RNA is filed under the name Phrynosoma platyrhinos (Desert horned lizard). Its description in RNAcentral is "tRNA-OTHER". It matches the Rfam family "tRNA". Rfam says of the family: Transfer RNA (tRNA) molecules are approximately 80 nucleotides in length. The record is from RNAcentral. Lineage: Eukaryota; Metazoa; Chordata; Lepidosauria; Squamata; Phrynosomatidae.